ACACCUAUAGCUUAAUUGGAUAGAGUACAAGUUUCCUAAACUUGCAAUGGGGGUUCAAAUCCCUCUAGGUGUACCA
This 76-nucleotide transfer RNA is filed under the name Mycoplasmataceae bacterium. RNAcentral's name for it is "tRNA-Arg". It matches the Rfam family "tRNA". Rfam says of the family: Transfer RNA (tRNA) molecules are approximately 80 nucleotides in length. Their secondary structure includes four short double-helical elements and three loops (D, anti-codon, and T loops). Lineage: Bacteria; Bacillati; Mycoplasmatota; Mollicutes; Mycoplasmatales; Mycoplasmataceae. The record is from RNAcentral.